RNAcentral lists this ribosomal RNA (449 nucleotides) under uncultured bacterium. RNAcentral's name for it is "bacterial SSU rRNA". It matches the Rfam family "Bacterial small subunit ribosomal RNA", at positions 355 to 796 of the family's 1533-position model. The record is from RNAcentral.
UGGGGAAUAUUGCGCAAUGGGCGAAAGCCUGACGCAGCGACGCCGCGUGGAGGAUGAAGGUCUUCGGAUCGUAAACUUCUGUUAAGUGGGAAGAAAAGUUUGCGUUUAAUAGACGCAGAAAAUGACGGUACCAUUAGAGAAAGCACCGGCUAACUUCGUGCCAGCAGCCGCGGUAAUACGAAGGGUGCAAGCGUUAUUCGGAAUCAUUGGGCGUAAAGGGUGCGUAGACGGUGUGUUAAGUCCAUUGUUAAAUCUUCCGGCCUAACCGGAAAUCAGCAGUGGAUACUAGCGCGCUAGAGGUUGGAAGAGAGAAGUGGAAUUCUCGGAGUAGCGGUAAAAUGCGUAGAUCUCGAGAGGAACACCAAUGGCGAAGGCAGCUUCUUGGUCCACACCUGACGUUGAGGCACGAAAGCGUGGGGAGCAAACAGGAUUAGAUACCCCCGUAGUCC